AGUGAACGCUGGCGGUAGGCCUAACACAUGCAAGUCGAACGGCAGCACAAUAAGAGCUUGCUCAUACGGGUGGCGAGUGGCGGACGGGUGAGGAAUACAUAGGAAUCUACUUUUUGGUGGGGGACAACGUAGGGAAACUGACGAUACUACAUAAAACGACUUACGGCUGAAAGCAGGGGAGAUAGAGACAUUGGCAGAUCGAAUGGGUCGAGUUCUGAUUAGUUAGUUAGCGGGGUAAAGGCCCACCAAGGCGACGAUCCUUAGCUGGUCUAAGAGGAGGAUCAGCCACACGGGACCUGGAACACGGUCCAGCCUCCUACGGGAGGCACCAUUGGGGAAUUUUGGACAAUGGGCGAAAGCCUGAUCCAGCCAUACCGCGUAGGUGAAGAAGUCCUUCGGUUUGUAAAGUCUUUUUGUUGGGAAAGAAAUGCAGCAGGUUAAUACCCCGCUGUUCUGACGGUACCCAAAGAAUAAGCACCGGCUAACUUCGUG
Molecule: ribosomal RNA, 492 nt
Filed under: uncultured bacterium
Lineage: Bacteria
Description: partial 16S ribosomal RNA
Rfam family: Bacterial small subunit ribosomal RNA
Source: RNAcentral